Oncorhynchus tshawytscha (Chinook salmon) is the source of this 881-nucleotide long non-coding RNA. The record is from Ensembl. NCBI's taxonomy places the organism in Eukaryota, Metazoa, Chordata, Actinopteri, Salmoniformes, Salmonidae.
AGAGGUGGAUAGAGAGAGAAGAUGAGAGGUGGAUGGAGAGAGAAGAGGAGAGGUGGAGUGAGAGAGAAGAGGAGAGGUGGAUGGAGAGAGAAGAGGAGAGGAGAGGGAUGGAGAGAGAAGAGGAGAGGGAUGGAGAGAGAAGAGGAGAGGGGGAGUGAGAGAGAAGAGGAGAGGUGGAGUGAGAGAGAAGAGGAGAGGUGGAGGGAGAGAGAAGAGGAGAGGUGGAUGGAGAGAGAAGAGGAGAGGUGGAUGGAGAGAGAAGAGGAGAGGUGGUUGAGAGAGAAGAGGAGGAUGGAGAGACAAGAGGAGAGGGGGAGAGAGAAGAGGAGGAUGGAGGUGGAUGGAGAGAGAAGAGGAGAGGGGGAGUGAGAGAGAAGAGGAGAGGGAUGGAGGUGGGUGGAGAGAGAAGAGGAGAGGGGGAUGAGAGAGAAGAGGAGGAUGGAGGUGGAUGGAGAGAGAAGAGGAGGAUGGAGGUGGAUGGAGAGAGAAAAGAGGAGGAUGGAGGUGGAUGGAGAGAGAAGAGGAGGAUGGAGGUGGAUGGAGAGAGAAGAGGAGGAUGGAGGUGGAUGGAGAGAGAAGAGGAGGAUGGCGGUGGAUGGAGAGAAGAGGAGAGGGAUGGAGAGAGAAGAGGAGAGGGGGAGAGAGAAGAGGAGAGAUGGAUGGAGGUGGAUGGAGAGAGAGGGAGAGACAGCAGUCAUUAAUGAAGUCAAUAUUCCUAUCUGUGAACUUCUCCUAACUAGAAAGACUCAUAUAUCAAAUACCUAUUAACAAUACAAACCUGCUUGGAAACAUUUGGUCACUCAUUUGAAUAUGCCUAUAUAAUCCUUCCUGUUUCAUUACAUGGGGCCUUUAUUAAGGCAUCAGUGCUCCCUCUUGACGAC